AGCGGGAAGUAGUUUACUACUUUGCCGGCGAGCGGCGGACGGGUGAGUAAUGUCUGGGAAACUGCCUGAUGGAGGGGGAUAACUACUGGAAACGGUAGCUAAUACCGCAUAACGUCUUCGGACCAAAGUGGGGGACCUUCGGGCCUCACGCCAUCGGAUGUGCCCAGAUGGGAUUAGCUAGUAGGUGGGGUAAUGGCUCACCUAGGCGACGAUCCCUAGCUGGUCUGAGAGGAUGACCAGCCACACUGGAACUGAGACACGGUCCAGACUCCUACGGGAGGCAGCAGUGGGGAAUAUUGCACAAUGGGCGCAAGCCUGAUGCAGCCAUGCCGCGUGUGUGAAGAAGGCCUUCGGGUUGUAAAGCACUUUCAGCGAGGAGGAAGGCCAAUAACUUAAUACGUUGUUGGAUUGACGUUACUCGCAGAAGAAGCACCGGCUAACUCCGUGCCAGCAGCCGCGGUAAUACGGAGGGUGCAAGCGUUAAUCGGAAUUACUGGGCGUAAAGCGCACGCAGGCGGUUUGUUAAGUCAGAUGUGAAAUCCCCGCGCUUAACGUGGGAACUGCAUUUGAAACUGGCAAGCUAGAGUCUUGUAGAGGGGGGUAGAAUUCCAGGUGUAGCGGUGAAAUGCGUAGAGAUCUGGAGGAAUACCGGUGGCGAAGGCGGCCCCCUGGACAAAGACUGACGCUCAGGUGCGAAAGCGUGGGGAGCAAACA
Molecule: ribosomal RNA, 714 nt
Filed under: uncultured bacterium
Lineage: Bacteria
Description: bacterial SSU rRNA
Rfam family: Bacterial small subunit ribosomal RNA
Source: RNAcentral